RNAcentral lists this ribosomal RNA (253 nucleotides) under uncultured bacterium. Its description in RNAcentral is "partial 16S ribosomal RNA". It matches the Rfam family "Bacterial small subunit ribosomal RNA", at positions 524 to 776 of the family's 1533-position model. The record is from RNAcentral.
UACGUAGGGGGCAAGCGUUGUCCGGAUUUAUUGGGCGUAAAGAGCGUGUAGGCGGCUAGGUAGGUCCGUUGUGAAAACUCGAGGCUCAACCUCGAGAGGCCGGUGGAAACCAUCUAGCUAGAGUCCGGAAGAGGAGAGUGGAAUUCCUGGUGUAGCGGUGAAAUGCGCAGAUAUCAGGAAGAACACCCGUGGCGAAGGCGGCUCUCUGGUCUGUAACUGACGCUGAGGCGCGAAAGCGUGGGGAGCAAACAGG